GUGCUCAAUCCAGCAACCUAUACACUAAAAUCGGGAUGACACAGAAAGGAUUAGCAUGGCCCAUGCAGAGAUAACAAAUUUAUGAAGCAUUCCACAUUAAA
This 101-nucleotide small nuclear RNA is filed under the name Fukomys damarensis (Damara mole-rat). The record is from RNAcentral. Lineage: Eukaryota; Metazoa; Chordata; Mammalia; Rodentia; Bathyergidae.